This 1371-nucleotide ribosomal RNA is filed under the name metagenome. RNAcentral describes it as "bacterial SSU rRNA". It matches the Rfam family "Archaeal small subunit ribosomal RNA". The record is from RNAcentral.
GUAGCAAUACCGGCGUAAUGCUCAGUAACACGUAGUUAAUCUGCCAUAAGGUUGAGGAUAUCCUCGGAAACCUGAGAGUAAUACUCGAUAGGGAAUAUGAUCUGGAAUGAUAUAUUCUUCAAACGUAAGGCCUUAUGAUGAGACUGCGGUGGAUUAGGUAGUUGGUAGGGUAACGGCCUACCAAGCCUACGAUCCAUACGGGCCUUGGAAGAGGUAACCCGGAGAGGGACACUGAGAUACUGGUCCCAGCCCUACGGGGUGCAGCAGGCGCGAAAACUUUACAAUGUGCGAAAGCGUGAUAGGGGAACUCAAAGUGCUUACAGUUUACUGUAGGCUUUUGCCAAGUCAAAAUCGCUUGGCGAAUAAGUGGUGGGCAAGACUGGUGCCAGCCGCCGCGGUAACCCCAGCGCCACUAGUGGGAACCAGUAUUAUUGGGCCUAAAGCGUCCGUAGCAGGUCUUCUAAAUUGCUUGUGAAAUCGCAUAGCUUAACUAUGCGGAUUGCAGGUAGGACUGGAAGACUUGAGACCGGGAGAAGUCGAAGGUACUCAGAGGGGAGCGGUAAAAUGCGAGAAUCCUCUGAAGACCACCUGUUGCGAAGGCGUUCGACAAUAACGGGUCUGACUGUGAGGGACGAAAGCUAGGGGAGCGAACCGGAUUAGAUACCCGAGUAGUCCUAGCCCUAAACGCUGCGAGCUAGGUGUUGCAUAAUCUUCGGGAUUAUGCAGUAUCGUAGUGAAGACGUUAAGCUCGCCGCCUGGGAAGUACGGCCGCAAGACUGAAACUUAAAGGAAUUGGCGGGGGAGCACUACAAGGGGUGCGGCGUGCGGUUUAAUCGAAUUCAACGCCGAGAAUCUCACCAGAGGCGACGGCAGUAUGAAAGACAGUCUGAAGGGCUUUCUUGACGAGCCGAGAGUAGUGCAUGGCCAUCGUCAGCUCGUAUCGUGAGAUGUCCUGUUAAGUCAGGUAACGAGCAAGACCUGCACCUAUAAUUGCUAACGGCUAAUAUUUAGGACCGAGCACAUUAUAGGGACUGCCCUGGAAACAGGGAGGAGGGUGCAGGCAACGGUAGGUCUGUAUGCUCCGAAUCUUCUGGGCUACACGCGCGCAACAAUGGUUGGGACAAUGGGAUACAACUCCGAAAGGAGAAGUUAAACCUCUAAACCCAAUCUUAGUCUGGAUUGAGGGUUGUAACUCACCCUCAUGACACCGGAAUCCCUAGUAAUCGGUCUUCAUCAUGGACCAGUGAAUGUGUCCCUGCUCUUUGCACACACCGCCCGUCAAACCAACCGAGCAUACCAUAAGUGAGUCUCAGUCUAUCUUGAUUAAGGCAAACUUAAGAUAAGUGAGGUGGGUUAAGUCGUCACAAGGUA